RNAcentral lists this long non-coding RNA (380 nucleotides) under Gallus gallus (chicken). Its description in RNAcentral is "long non-coding RNA NONGGAT000972". The record is from RNAcentral. Lineage: Eukaryota; Metazoa; Chordata; Aves; Galliformes; Phasianidae.
GCUUGAGUGGCGUAUCCACUCGGCCAAUCAGAGCGCGGAAGAGCUCUGCACCAUUUCUCCCACUCGCCCAUAUAAUCGGAGGCGAGCGGUGAGGAAGGCCGAAUCUCAGUGGAACGAAUGGACAACUGACUUGACCAAUGGAAGCCUUUCCCCUCCCACUGCGUUGGGCGGAGUAACAAGUGGAAGCGGUGUGUUUCGUUAGGAAGCCGUUAGGUCCCUGUGGCCGCGCACUGCUCUCCGCCGCCCGCUGCUGUCUGCGCCUCACAGCGCCCCUUCGCAGCCUGCCAGAGCUCUCGCUGCCUUCUCCAGGCUUCGUUUGGAUCCCAGCUGUGCUACUCAAGGAGUGGGUUUUGUAGCCCUGUGAGCGGCACUUGUGACCA